CGUAGGGUGCGAGCGUUAAUCGGAAUUACUGGGCGUAAAGUGUGCGCAGGCGGCCGCGCAUGUCGAGUGUGAAAUCCCCGGGCUUAACUUGGGAAUUGCGCUCGAAACUACGUGGCUGGAGUGUGGCAGAGGAAGGUGGAAUUCCAGGUGUAGCGGUGAAAUGCGUAGAGAUCUGGAGGAACACCGAUGGCGAAGGCAGCCUUCUGGGCCAACACUGACACUCAUGCACGAAAGCGUGGGGAGCAAACAGGAUUAGAUACCCUGGUAGUCCACGCCCUAAACGAUGAUGACUAGUUGUUGGAGGAGUUAAAUCCUUUAGUAACGCAGCUAACGCGUGAAGUCAUCCGCCUGGGGAGUACGGUCGCAAGAUUA
RNAcentral lists this ribosomal RNA (372 nucleotides) under uncultured organism. RNAcentral describes it as "bacterial SSU rRNA". It matches the Rfam family "Bacterial small subunit ribosomal RNA", at positions 526 to 896 of the family's 1533-position model. The record is from RNAcentral.